This 484-nucleotide ribosomal RNA is filed under the name uncultured bacterium. RNAcentral describes it as "partial 16S ribosomal RNA". It matches the Rfam family "Bacterial small subunit ribosomal RNA", at positions 29 to 507 of the family's 1533-position model. The record is from RNAcentral.
AUUGAACGCUGGCGGCAUGCUUUACACAUGCAAGUCGAACGGCAGCGCGGGCUUCGGCCUGGCGGCGAGUGGCGAACGGGCGAGUAAUACAUCGGAACGUGCCCAGCAGCGGUGGAUUGCUCGGCGAAAGCCGGAUUAAUACCGCAUACGACCUGAGGGCGAAAGCGGGGGAUCUUCGGACCUCGCGCUAUUGGAGCGGCCGAUGGCAGAUUAGCUAGUUGGUGGGGUAAAGGCCUACCAAGGCGACGAUCUGUAGCUGGUCUGAGAGGACGACCAGCCACACUGGGACUGAGACACGGCCCAGACUCCUACGGGAGGCAGCAGUGGGGAAUUUUGGACAAUGGGCGAAAGCCUGAUCCAGCAAUGCCGCGUGUGUGAUGAAGGCCUUCGGGUUGUAAAGCACUUUUGGCGGGAACGAAAAGGACUGUGCCAAUACCACGGUUCGAUGACGGUACCCGCAGAAUAAGCACCGGCUAACUACGUG